CCAAGGAAGAAAUAGACUACUACAAAAACCAAAGGCAACAGAAAGAGGUACGUGCGUGUAUGGCUUCUCUUCGCUCUCCCCUUCCUUUCGUAUGUUUUUUCAUUUCUCUAUCCUAAUUC
RNAcentral lists this non-coding RNA (119 nucleotides) under Pteridomonas danica. Lineage: Eukaryota; Dictyochophyceae; Pedinellales. The record is from RNAcentral.